Molecule: ribosomal RNA, 301 nt
Filed under: uncultured bacterium
Lineage: Bacteria
Description: partial 16S ribosomal RNA
Rfam family: Bacterial small subunit ribosomal RNA
Source: RNAcentral
CAGCCGCCGCGGUAAUACGAAGGGGGCUAGCGUUGUUCGGAAUUACUGGGCGUAAAGCGCACGUAGGCGGAUAUUUAAGUCAGGGGUGAAAUCCCAGAGCUCAACUCUGGAACUGCCUUUGAUACUGGGUAUCUUGAGUAUGGAAAAGGUGAGUGGAAUUCCGAGUGUAGAGGUGAAAUUCGUAGAUAUUCGGAGGAACACCAGUGGCGAAGGCGGCUCACUGGUCCAUUACUGACGCUGAGGUGCGAAAGCGUGGGGAGCAAACAGGAUUAGAUACCCCUGUAGUCCCUGUCUCUUAUAC